GAUGAUUAAACAUGUAUAGUACAAUGGAUGAUACAAUAAUAAUAUAUAAAACCCAUACAAUAUGAAUGCAUUCAUUAUUGGAAACCCUUGAGUACCUCUUUAAGCAUAGGUCUUUUAUGUUCAUAUCUCUAAUCCAACUCACCUAAACUAUUAUAAACCCAAAAAAUAAGAAACAAGGACACACAUGGUUGGAAAUUUGGAAGAUGAAAUUGCAAAGUAAAAGAGAAGUAUCAAAAUGAAAACAGGAACAAGGAGAAGUGGCAAAGGUGGUGGUGGUAGUGGUGGCAACACCGCCGGAAGCACAAGAAUAGACAAAGUGAGAAGAGCCAAAACCAUGAUAACAUGCAUCUACUACUUUCCUUCAGAACCAUAUAUUAUAAAGGACUUGUGGUGUGUCCACCAAUUACAAUCAUAUGCAAAACUAAUCUUAUAUAAAUUUGUCAGCCCAAUUCACAAAUCUAUUGAUUGAUGCAUUUGAUAAAUAAUGAGUGUAUGUAUUGAUUUUGGAGAGUGGCUAGGAGGUAGAGUGAUGAUGGCUAUAUUGCAGCUACCAAAGAAGGGCAACAUAAAUUUAUACUUGAAUCUUUUGAAUAUGCAUGGGAUAGGGUUUAGUUUCCUGCUUUAUGUGAAAAGACUUUAUUGAUAGGAAAAAAAUGGUAGGACACCCUUUAUGAAAGAAGGGUCUUUGUGUGUAAGUGAAAGGGAAUAAGAAUGAAAGAAGGUUAGCUAGAGAAUAGAGAGGUAGGAGAAGAGGGGAGGUUUUAUUAGGUAUAGACUAGUAAUGAU
Molecule: long non-coding RNA, 786 nt
Filed under: Lupinus angustifolius (narrow-leaved blue lupine)
Lineage: Eukaryota; Viridiplantae; Streptophyta; Magnoliopsida; Fabales; Fabaceae
Description: long non-coding RNA (LANG_LNC003711)
Source: RNAcentral